CCCUUAGAUGUUCUGGGCCGCACGCGCGCUACACUGAUGCAUUCAACGAGUUUCUUCCUGGUCCGAGAGGAAUGGGUAACCUUUUGAAAGUGCAUCGUGAUAGGGAUAGACUAUUGCAAUUAUUGGUCUUCAACGAGGAAUUCCUAGUAGACGUAGUUCAUCAGACUGCAUCGAUUACGUCCCUGCCCUUUGUACACACCGCCCGUCGCUCCUACCGAUUGAAUGCUCAGGUGAGCCAUUCGGACUUUCAUCAAGCUGGUUUCCAGUUUUGAUGAAGGAAAGUCUUGCGAACCUUAUCAUUUAGAGGAAGGAGAAGUCGUAACA
RNAcentral lists this ribosomal RNA (324 nucleotides) under uncultured eukaryote. Its description in RNAcentral is "partial 18S ribosomal RNA". It matches the Rfam family "Eukaryotic small subunit ribosomal RNA", at positions 1470 to 1796 of the family's 1831-position model. The record is from RNAcentral.